Molecule: ribosomal RNA, 479 nt
Filed under: uncultured bacterium
Lineage: Bacteria
Description: partial 16S ribosomal RNA
Rfam family: Bacterial small subunit ribosomal RNA
Source: RNAcentral
GACGAACGCUGGCGGCGUGCCUAAUACAUGCAAGUGGGACGCAAGGAAACACACUGUGCUCGCACACCGUGUUAUCUUGAGUCGCGAACGGGUGAGUAACGCGUAGGCAACCUGCCUAUUAGCGGGGGAUAACUAUUGGAAACGAUAGCUAAUACCGAAUAAUAUUAAUCAUUGCAUGAUAAUUGAUUGAAAGUUGCAAGCGCAGCGCUUGUAGAUGGACCUACGUUGUAUUAGCUAGUUGGUAAGGUAAGAGCCUACCAAGGCGACGAUACAUAGCUGAUCGGAGAGGAUGAUCAGCCACACUGGGACUGAGACACGGCCCAGACUCCUACGGGAGGCAGCAGUGGGGAAUAGUGGACAAUGGGCGAAAGCCUGAGCCAGCAAUGCCGCGUGAGUGAUGAAGGCCUUAGGGUUGUAAAGCGCUUUUACCCGGGAUGAUAAUGACAGUACCGGGAGAAUAAGCUCCGGCUAACUCCGUG